RNAcentral lists this ribosomal RNA (301 nucleotides) under uncultured bacterium. RNAcentral's name for it is "partial 16S ribosomal RNA". It matches the Rfam family "Bacterial small subunit ribosomal RNA", at positions 509 to 807 of the family's 1533-position model. The record is from RNAcentral.
CAGUAGCCGCGGGAAUACGUAGGUGGCAAGCGUUGUCCGGAAUUAUUGGGCGUAAAGGGCUCGCAGGCGGUUUCUUAAGUCUGAUGUGAAAGCCCCCGGCUCAACCGGGGAGGGUCAUUGGAAACUGGGAAACUUGAGUGCAGAAGAGGAGAGUGGAAUUCCACGUGUAGCGGUGAAAUGCGUAGAGAUGUGGAGGGACACCAGUGGCGAAGGCGACUCUCUGGUCUGUAACUGACGCUGAGGAGCGAAAGCGUGGGGAGCGAACAGGAUUAGAUACCCCCGUAGUCCCUGUCUCUUAUAC